ACCGGCGCACGGGUGCGUAACGCGUAUGCAAUCUACCUUGUACAGGGGGAUAGCCCAGAGAAAUUUGGAUUAAUACCCCAUGGUGUAUUAGAGUGGCAUCAUUUAAAUACUAAAGUUCCAACGGUACAAGAUGAGCAUGCGUCCCAUUAGUUAGUUGGUAAGGUAACGGCUUACCAAGACGAUGAUGGGUAGGGGUCCUGAGAGGGAGAUCCCCCACACUGGUACUGAGACACGGACCAGACUCCUACGGGAGGCAGCAGUGAGGAAUAUUGGUCAAUGGGCGAGAGCCUGAACCAGCCAUGCCGCGUGCAGGAAGACGGUCCUAUGGAUUGUAAACUGCUUUUAUACAGGAAGAAACACUCCCUCGUGAGGGAACCUGACGGUACUGUAGGAAUAAGGAUCGGCUAACUCCGUGCCAGCAGCCGCGGUAAUACGGAGGAUCCAAGUGUUAUCCGGAAUCAUUGGGUUUAAAGGGUCUGUAGGCGGUUUAAUAAGUCAGUGGUGAAAUCUGGUCGCUCAACGAUCAAACGGCCAUUGAUACUGUUAAACUUGAAUUAGUGUGAAGUAACUAGAAUAUGUAGUGUAGCGGUGAAACGCUUAGAUAUUACAUGGAAUACCAAUUGCGAAGGCAGGUUACUAACACUAUAUUGACGCUGAUAGACGAAAGCGUGGGUAGCGAACAGGAUUAGAUACCCUGGUAGUCCACGCCGUANACGAUGGAUACUAGCUGUUUGGAGCAAUCUGAGUGGCUAAGCGAAAGUGAUAAGUAUCCCA
This 774-nucleotide ribosomal RNA is filed under the name uncultured bacterium. Its description in RNAcentral is "bacterial SSU rRNA". It matches the Rfam family "Bacterial small subunit ribosomal RNA", at positions 94 to 871 of the family's 1533-position model. The record is from RNAcentral.